GGCCGGGAUGUUCUGGAGCCGGGCGAGGGAAGUUUCCAGGUGAUGCUGAUGCCGAUGUUGCUGGCCAGAGGACUAAAUGUUGAGAACCGUUGGAUUUGAUAAUCUCCUCUACAGUUGUAUAAUUCUAUGCCUCUUUUCCCAACUCCUUUUCAAGUUGUAGCACCUCUCCUUUGACUUCUGCAACAUUAUUUCAUUUAAAAAUUGCUAUAUGGCGAACUGAGGUUUAAAAUUUUUAAAUGGAUUAAUUUUAUCUGAGUUUUUCUUCAGAAUUCCAUAUAUUUUGUGAAGGCGUUGUUCAAACUCAGCACCACCAAGCUGCCCUGGAAUGGAACUUCUGCUCAGUUCUUGGAUUGAGGGAUGGAGGAGGAGUUUACUUCAUUCAUUCUCAGGGACUCUUAACUGGUUACUUUUCCUUUAAGAAUAAACUUUGGGUCUUCUAAAGACUUAAAGAAACUAAAUCAGUUGCAAAAAUAUCUGCCUCUGAGAGCUCAGGAGGAUCUGCUUUGUGGGAGCAAAGGUAGUGAGUCAUACCUGGAAGCUUGCGCCUCUUCAUCCAGUCAAGUCUCCUAGGCAACAGUUUAUGCAGCACUUAAAAGAUGAGGAGUUAAGAGGAGAAAAUGGAAAAAAAAAAACAACAGAAGUACUUUUAAUGGAACAGAAUAAACCACUGAACAGCAAUUUCCUGGCCAGAGCAGGAACUAGAGCAGAGUCUGGGAGAAGUGACCAUGCCAGGACGGUUUUCCCACCUGUGCUUCCCUGCACGACUGAAAGGAGGGGUGUGUCCGACCCUCGCUGCAGUCCGUGUGCCGCAAAGCAGAAUCCAGCUCCGACCCACCACGAAGGUUGUUAAUGCGCUAUUAAUGGUGUUGAAAUAUGAUGUUUUGGUUACAUGUACAAGCUGAGUUUGAAUAUGGAUGAAGUGUGAGCUUUCCACACGUGGUCACAGAGCAGCCAUCAUCCUCCGUGGGCAGCACCUGUCUUUGCUGUCCUGUGUGUGGUUAAGGCCCAAGGAAGAGUGGUGUGAUUGCAGCUGACUUACUUGAUCUUACUCUGUUGAGGACGGACUUCUCGUGAGGUCGGCUCAUGUAGUCGCUCCUGUAAUCGGCUUUUUGUUUAUGUUCUCAGUGCUGUUCGGCAAAUGCUGCAGGGACAUAGAGCACUGGCACGUAGCUGUCAGGAUUUGCCAUCUGGGAGGUGAUGUCCCGCCGAGCGCCCUGCUCCCUCCUGUCCCAGGCCUCUGUCACCUCCCAGAAGCUCCACACCCGCCCCUCGGUUUUCACUUCUCAGUCUCUGUAGCUGCCACCCCGCCUGUGCACAGAGCAGACAGACCCCCAGAAGUGAGCUCACUCGGGUUCUGGCCCGAGUCAACACUUACCUGCACCUGCCUUGUUUUCCUGGCCUCCUGUUCCAGUGGGAAGGAUCCUUUCCCCCAUCUGAGACCCUGGACCCCAUCCCCUCUCACCUCCUCAGAGACUUUCUUUCUCUGCCCAUUACCUGCCAUUCGCCAUUGACUCUCUCUUGCGAGCAUGUAAACCUACUCAAGUCUUACAAGUUAAAAACAAAACCGGGAGUUCCUGUUGUAGCUCAGUGGUAACAAAUGCAACUAGUAUCCAUGAGGACACGUGUUCGAUCUCUGGCCUCACGCAGUGGGUUAAGGAUCUGGCGUUGCCAUGAGCUAUAGUGUAGCACAGAUGUGGCUCAGAUCUGGCCUUGCUGCAGCUGUGGUGUAGGCCGGCAGCUGCAGCUCUGAUUCAGCCCCUCGCCUGGGAACUUCCAUGUGUCACAGGCCUGGCCCUGAGAAGCCAAAAAAAAAAAUAAAAUAAAAAUAAAAA
Molecule: long non-coding RNA, 1832 nt
Filed under: Sus scrofa (pig)
Lineage: Eukaryota; Metazoa; Chordata; Mammalia; Artiodactyla; Suidae
Description: lncRNA (ENSSSCG00040030038.1)
Source: RNAcentral